This is a non-coding RNA of Penaeus vannamei (Pacific white shrimp), 104 nucleotides long. The record is from RefSeq and is a predicted model, not a curated record. NCBI's taxonomy places the organism in Eukaryota, Metazoa, Arthropoda, Malacostraca, Decapoda, Penaeidae.
GUACUUGCUUCGGCAGUACAAAUACUAAAAUUGGAACGAUACAGAGAAGAUUAGCAUGCAUCUUUGGGUUUCCACGGGGGCUGGGUGAAGUGGAUAUUUUCCUU